AGGGUUUGAUUAUGGCUCAGGACGAACGCUGGCGGCGUGCCUAAUACAUGCAAGUCGAACGAAGCUUUCUUUCACCGAAUGCUUGCAUUCACCGAAAGAAGCUUAGUGGCGAACGGGUGAGUAACACGUAGGCAACCUGCCCAAAAGAGGGGGAUAACACUUGGAAACAGGUGCUAAUACCGCAUAACCAUGAACACCGCAUGAUGUUCAUGUAAAAGACGGCUUUUGCUGUCACUUUUGGAUGGGCCUGCGGCGUAUUAACUUGUUGGUGGGGUAACGGCCUACCAAGGUGAUGAUACGUAGCCGAACUGAGAGGUUGAUCGGCCACAUUGGGACUGAGACACGGCCCAA
Molecule: ribosomal RNA, 351 nt
Filed under: uncultured bacterium
Lineage: Bacteria
Description: bacterial SSU rRNA
Rfam family: Bacterial small subunit ribosomal RNA
Source: RNAcentral